GUGAAAUUCCGUCGGAAUCUGGGAGGACCAUCUCCUAAGGCUAAAUACUCUCUAGUGACCGAUAGUGAACCAGUACCGUGAGGGAAAGGUGAAAAGCACCCCGGAAGGGGAGUGAAAUAGAACCUGAAACCGUGUGCUUACAAGUAGUCAGAGCCCGUUAAUGGGUGAUGGCGUGCCUUUUGUAGAAUGAACCGGCGAGUUACGAUUUGAUGCAAGGUUAAGCAGUAAAUGUGGAGCCGUAGCGAAAGCGAGUCUGAAUAGGGCGUUUAGUAUUUGGUCGUAGACCCGAAACCAGGUGAUCUACCCUUGGUCAGGUUGAAGUUCAGGUAACACUGAAUGGAGGACCGAACCGACUUACGUUGAAAAGUGAGCGGAUGAACUGAGGGUAGCGGAGAAAUUCCAAUCGAACCUGGAGAUAGCUGGUUCUCUCCGAAAUAGCUUUAGGGCUAGCCUCAAGUGAUGAUUAUUGGAGGUAGAGCACUGUUUGGACGAGGGGCCCCUCUCGGGUUACCGAAUUCAGACAAACUCCGAAUGCCAAUUAAUUUAACUUGGGAGUCAGAACAUGGGUGAUAAGGUCCAUGUUCGAAAGGGAAACAGCCCAGACCACCAGCUAAGGUCCCAAAAUAUAUGUUAAGUGGAAAAGGAUGUGGCGUUGCCCAGACAACUAGGAUGUUGGCUUAGAAGCAGCCAUCAUUUAAAGAGUGCGUAAUAGCUCACUAGUCGAGUGACACUGCGCCGAAAAUGUACCGGGGCUAAACAUAUUACCGAAGCUGUGGAUUGUCCUUUGGACAAUGGUAGGAGAGCGUUCUAAGGGCGUUGAAGCAUGAUCGUAAGGACAUGUGGAGCGCUUAGAAGUGAGAAUGCCGGUGUGAGUAGCGAAAGAUGGGUGAGAAUCCCGUCCACCGAUUGACUAAGGUUUCCAGAGGAAGGCUCGUCCGCUCUGGGUUAGUCGGGUCCUAAGCUGAGGCCGACAGGCGUAGGCGAUGGAUAACAGGUUGAUAUUCCUGUACCACCUAUAAUCGUUUUAAUCGAUGGGGGGACGCAGUAGGAUAGGCGAAGCGUGCGAUUGGAUUGCACGUCUAAGCAGUAAGGCUGAGUAUUAGGCAAAUCCGGUACUCGUUAAGGCUGAGCUGUGAUGGGGAGAAGACAUUGUGUCUUCGAGUCGUUGAUUUCACACUGCCGAGAAAAGCCUCUAGAUAGAAAAUAGGUGCCCGUACCGCAAACCGACACAGGUAGUCAAGAUGAGAAUUCUAAGGUGAGCGAGCGAACUCUCGUUAAGGAACUCGGCAAAAUGACCCCGUAACUUCGGGAGAAGGGGUGCUCUUUAGGGUUAACGCCCAGAAGAGCCGCAGUGAAUAGGCCCAAGCGACUGUUUAUCAAAAACACAGGUCUCUGCUAAACCGUAAGGUGAUGUAUAGGGGCUGACGCCUGCCCGGUGCUGGAAGGUUAAGAGGAGUGGUUAGCUUCUGCGAAGCUACGAAUCGAAGCCCCAGUAAACGGCGGCCGUAACUAUAACGGUCCUAAGGUAGCGAAAUUCCUUGUCGGGUAAGUUCCGACCCGCACGAAAGGCGUAACGAUUUGGGCACUGUCUCAACGAGAGACUCGGUGAAAUCAUAGUACCUGUGAAGAUGCAGGUUACCCGCGACAGGACGGAAAGACCCCGUGGAGCUUUACUGUAGCCUGAUAUUGAAAUUCGGCACAGCUUGUACAGGAUAGGUAGGAGCCUUUGAAACGUGAGCGCUAGCUUACGUGGAGGCGCUGGUGGGAUACUACCCUAGCUGUGUUGGCUUUCUAACCCGCACCACUUAUCGUGGUGGGAGACAGUGUCAGGCGGGCAGUUUGACUGGGGCGGUCGCCUCCUAAAAGG
Molecule: ribosomal RNA, 1867 nt
Filed under: Staphylococcus aureus
Lineage: Bacteria; Bacillati; Bacillota; Bacilli; Caryophanales; Staphylococcaceae
Description: partial 23S ribosomal RNA
Rfam family: Bacterial large subunit ribosomal RNA
Source: RNAcentral